GAGGCACUUCCGCGAACCAACGCUAACUGGCGUUAGCGCAAUGACUGGAAGUCUACAGGUACGCUAAGAUACGGCUUCGCACCUGAGUGCAGUACUGAGAGGACGUUAGUGGUAGUUUCCCGAGCCAAUGCUACCUUCCUUCAUACUGGAAGGCAGAGACAUACAAAUGGAAUCCACAAGUUCAUCUAACUCUGGGCACCAACCUCAAUGCUGUCUGGCGAGACAUGAAUAUCAGACUAUUAUAUGAAAUACCUUCUUGAAGCUGCUGUGAAGUGGAAUAACAUUUUCAGAAGCUACUGGCUAUAUUGGAUAUAUGGCUGUACUGGUUCGAAUCCACCCAAGAUGAUGAACCCUGAAGAUGGGACAAAGGACAUGACAAGGUGGCCCAGAGGAAGACAGCUGUUCUCAACCCUCACUGAGUUUGAUUGAAGACGUCUAGUGAGGGGUGAGAAGAGCUGACAAAUCAAAACUGAGGAUUCUUACGGCGCCCCAUGAGGAACACCCGCUGACUUCUCUCUCCUGGAUGAUCUCCUGCCCAAACUGUCCCGUUGUGUUUCACUGCCUCUAAACACCGUUACACCAAAUAGUUGCCCUAUUUUAUGCACAAAUGUAUUGUUUUUCUUACAUUUAUUGUAGCUUUCAGGGAGAUUUUCACUGUACGUUUUACAGCAUUAUACUGGCACCAGUGUUGUCAGCUUAAUACUGCAAUUUUGCUGACAUAUAUUUGACAGUACUAUUUGCCUUACUGUAAAACAUUACAUCAUCCCCUUACAGAAGGGAUGCUGUAAUAUGUUUUACGGUAAGGAAAAUAGUACUGUCAAAUAUCACAGCAUCACGGCUGUAAAGCAAAAUUACAGUAUUAAGCUGACAACACUGGUGCAAGUAUAAUGCUGUACAUUUACAGGGAAAAGUCUUACUGUCUAUCCCUUUAAUAAGUGCUUAGUAAUUACCUAGUAAUGGAGUUUUUUUUGUUAUUUUCACAUCCUAUUUCCACCUGUCUGACAAUAAAAACUGCUUAACAACAGGUGUCAAAAUGUGUAAUUACAAAAAAAUGAUCAAAACUAUCAGAACAUGUUAAUACAAUGUUGUUACGAGGGUAAUUGCAGCAUUACUUACUAUACAAGUUUAGAGCAAGUUAACGUAAAGUGUGACCCCGCAUCGUAG
Long non-coding RNA from Oncorhynchus tshawytscha (Chinook salmon), 1164 nucleotides. The record is from Ensembl. Lineage: Eukaryota; Metazoa; Chordata; Actinopteri; Salmoniformes; Salmonidae.